Molecule: long non-coding RNA, 215 nt
Filed under: Rattus norvegicus (Norway rat)
Lineage: Eukaryota; Metazoa; Chordata; Mammalia; Rodentia; Muridae
Description: long non-coding RNA NONRATT002184
Source: RNAcentral
AGGUCAGUGUCACGGAGGCACCCUACAGGUGCACAGAGAACCCGGCCAACUGCUGGUGCCCUGUCCACCGUGCCUGUCCACGACCUGGGGACAACUGUCAUCAAAGAAGUCCUGGCUGACAAUGGUCCUGAUGAGGAAACACUGCAGGCUGCCUUAGAGCCACAGGCCACCAUGGAACACCCAGCCUCAUACUUGGCAGUUUCCUACAGGAGGUG